This 254-nucleotide ribosomal RNA is filed under the name uncultured bacterium. RNAcentral describes it as "partial 16S ribosomal RNA". It matches the Rfam family "Bacterial small subunit ribosomal RNA", at positions 524 to 776 of the family's 1533-position model. The record is from RNAcentral.
UACGGGGGGGGCAAGCGUUGUUCGGAAUUACUGGGCGUAAAGGGCUCGUAGGUGGCCAACUAAGUCAGACGUGAAAUCCCUCGGCUUAACCGGGGAACUGCGUCUGAUACUGGAUGGCUUGAGUUUGGGAGAGGGACGCGGAAUUCCAGGUGUAGCGGUGAAAUGCGUAGAUAUCUGGAGGAACACCGGUGGCGAAGGCGGCAUCCUGGACCAACACUGACGCUGAGUGAGCGAAAGCCAGGGGAGCAAACGGG